Molecule: long non-coding RNA, 875 nt
Organism: Oncorhynchus gorbuscha (pink salmon)
Lineage: Eukaryota; Metazoa; Chordata; Actinopteri; Salmoniformes; Salmonidae
Exons: 4
Source: RefSeq, a predicted model, not a curated record
UACAAAAUGCGUAUACACCUUUAGCUUGCAUAGUUCCAUUUAAAGAACUACUCAGUACCGAAAUCAAAAUAUGCAUGGCUAAUUUGUUGAUGUUUUUGAUCAAUUAAAUAGCGUAAUCCUAUGUUUUUAUCGAACGUCGCUUCCACACAAAAACGACGCGCGCAUGCACUACAACAGCCCGGAAGUUAGCUACCGGAGAAAUCAUUGAUCAAAGUUAACACAUUUCCCAGCCUCAGCACCGUAAAUUAGUUGGAGUGCAAGUAAAAAGCAUUUAUGGAAAUAAUUUAGCACUAAUAAGUGCACAUUUCUAUGGUUGAUCAUAAUAACUAUCCAAGGACCAAAUGCAGUAAGUUAGAAAGCUCCCUUUACCUCCGAGGAAGAGUCCAAGAAUAAGGCAGGUAUCCACCACCCACAGAUGGAGGGGUUCGAUCUCGUGCCUGUAGACGGUGGCAGUCCUAUACACCUGCCCCUGGGGGAGACACUGCUGGGAAGGGGUCCAUUCCUCUGCGAGCUGGAAAUCGAGGCAGAGGAACCGCAACCCCAACCAUAAGCACCAAUCAGGGUACGGCCAAACGGGCCAGGGACGCAGCGCCCUUGUCAGGGGAGGAGGAAUCUGAACACAGCGAGCCGGAGCCAAGAGGGCAUUUAAAGCCAGGCAGCAGGUGAAGCCUAGUAAAGUAGAGGAGAGCGAGGAGUCGGACCACGUGGAGGAGGAGGAGGAUGAUGAAGAGGAGAAGAAGCUUCCACAGGGAAAGGCAGCAGCACUUCUACGAGCAGAGCGGAGGUCAGCGAGUCCGAGGAUAGAAGGAGACAGCCUCAGAGCAGAAGGUCGGCAAGGGGCCUCAGGGGUCAAGUGAAGUUUCAGGCCCCGCCCA